This 253-nucleotide ribosomal RNA is filed under the name uncultured bacterium. RNAcentral describes it as "partial 16S ribosomal RNA". It matches the Rfam family "Bacterial small subunit ribosomal RNA", at positions 524 to 776 of the family's 1533-position model. The record is from RNAcentral.
UACGGAGGGGGCUAGCGUUGCUCGGAAUCACUGGGCGUAAAGCGCACGUAGGCGGCUUGCUAAGUCAGGUGUGAAAUCCUGGAGCUCAACUCCAGAACUGCCUUUGAUACUGGAGAGCUUGAGUCCGGAAGAGGUGAGUGGAACUCCGAGUGUAGAGGUGAAAUUCGUAGAUAUUCGGAAGAACACCAGUGGCGAAGGCGGCUGACUGGUCCGGUACUGACGCUGAUGUGCGAAAGCGUGGGGAGCAAACAGG